This is a small RNA of 125 nucleotides. It matches the Rfam family "Enterococcus sRNA 68 (Lacto-3 RNA)". Rfam says of the family: Name 'Ref' stands for RNA in E. faecalis. Also known as Lacto-3 RNA. Lactobacillales (Firmicutes). The record is from Rfam.
UGCGAUGAGUCGAGGAGAUCGCGCAACUACGGUUGUAUUCACAAGAUGUGAUUAAGCGAUAUUUUCGAAGGGGACACAUUAUGCGGACGUAAUUCGCGUGUCUGAUAUGUUGGUGAUGUGAACAC